UACGGAGGGGGCAAGCGUUGUUCGGAAUCAUUGGGCGUAAAGGGCUUGUAGGUGGCCAACUAAGUCAGACGUGAAAUCCCUCGGCUUAACCGGGGAACUGCAUCUGAUACUGGAUGGCUUGAGUUCGGGAGAGGGAUGCGGAAUUCCAGGUGUAGCGGUGAAAUGCGUAGAUAUCUGGAGGAACACCGGUGGCGAAGGCGGCAUCCUGGACCGACACUGACGCUGAGGAGCGAAAGCCAGGGGAGCAAACGGG
Molecule: ribosomal RNA, 253 nt
Filed under: uncultured bacterium
Lineage: Bacteria
Description: partial 16S ribosomal RNA
Rfam family: Bacterial small subunit ribosomal RNA
Source: RNAcentral